GAUGAACGCUGGCGGCGUGCCUAAUACAUGCAAGUCGAGCGAACGGACGAGAAGCUUGCUUCUCUGAGGUUAGCGGCGGACGGGUGAGUAACACGUGGAUAACCUACCUAUAAGACUGGGAUAACUUCGGGAAACCGGAGCUAAUACCGGAUGAUAUUUUGAACCUCAUGGUUCAAAAGUGAAAGACGGUCUUGCUGUCACUUAUAGAUGGAUCCGCGCUGCAUUAGCUAGUUGGUAAGGUAACGGCUUACCAAGGCAACGAUGCAUAGCCGACCUGAGAGGGUGAUCGGCCACACUGGAACUGAGACACGGUCCCGACUCCUACGGGAGGCAGCAGUAGGGAAUCCUCCGCAAUGGGCGAAAGCCUGACGGAGCAACGCCGCGUGAGUGAUGAAGGUCUUCGGAUCGUAAAACUCUGUUAUUAGGGAAGAACAUAUGUGUAAGUAACUGUGCACAUCUUGACGGUACCUAAUCAGAAAGCCACGGCUAACUACGUG
This 497-nucleotide ribosomal RNA is filed under the name uncultured bacterium. RNAcentral's name for it is "partial 16S ribosomal RNA". It matches the Rfam family "Bacterial small subunit ribosomal RNA", at positions 28 to 507 of the family's 1533-position model. The record is from RNAcentral.